CUUGGGAAUCUGGAGGUCUGCAAUUUGCUCCCCACUCCUUCCUUCCUUUCUUCACUGAAUAUUUGCUUAUUGGAUGGAGAGCACAUGUCCAUGCCUCUGAACUGCAGGGCCUCACAGACGCUUGGAGAGCACUUUUUCCUGCUUGCAUUCAUCUAUACCUGCACCUCCACUGUUGACGUUGUGGCUGAAUUGUCAGGUAUCUGGCAAGGAAGAACAUCAUGGAGGAAUGGAGGGGUGGAGGAGAGCUGUUCACCUCAUGAGAGCUGGAGAGCAGAGAAACAGAAAAAGAGCCAAAGAGUGAUGGAGCCAGGUAUUUCUUCAAUUUCAAGAAUUUAGAAGUGACUUGGCUGGAAGUUUCCGCAUUGGAGACUCUCACAAAGUUGCAUUCAGAUGGUGGUUGGUUCCAAAAACAUUUCAAGGCUUCUUCACUCACUUGUCUGAUGGCUGGGUUGGGGAAGAGGACCAAAGUCACUUCAUGAAAUGAGAUAGACUGUCACAGUCAUCAUUGAAAAAGAGACAGGAGAAUCUCUGAAGAAAUGCUGAAUAAUAACAGAUAGCAAGCAUUCUAUUCUUGUUCUUUAUUUUAAAAUAAAUGCUCUUGUAUUAUUACACAGA
RNAcentral lists this long non-coding RNA (615 nucleotides) under Heterocephalus glaber (naked mole-rat). RNAcentral's name for it is "lncRNA (ENSHGLG00000046127.1)". Lineage: Eukaryota; Metazoa; Chordata; Mammalia; Rodentia; Bathyergidae. The record is from RNAcentral.